UUCCUACGGGCCGCAGCAGUGAGGAAUAUUGGUCAAUGGGAGAGAUCCUGAACCAGCCAAGCCGCGUGAGGGAAGACGGCCCUAUGGGUUGUAAACCUCUUUUGUCAGGGAGCAACGCCGGCUACGUGUAGCCGGACUGAGAGUACCUGAAGAAAAAGCAUCGGCUAACUCCGUGCCAGCAGCCGCGGUAAUACGGAGGAUGCGAGCGUUAUCCGGAUUUAUUGGGUUUAAAGGGUGCGUAGGCGGAAUGCCAAGUCAGCGGUAAAAUCGCGGGGCUCAACCUCGCUCCGCCGUUGAAACUGGCG
RNAcentral lists this ribosomal RNA (305 nucleotides) under uncultured bacterium. RNAcentral describes it as "bacterial SSU rRNA". It matches the Rfam family "Bacterial small subunit ribosomal RNA", at positions 336 to 638 of the family's 1533-position model. The record is from RNAcentral.